This 55-nucleotide transfer RNA is filed under the name Steinernema kushidai. Its description in RNAcentral is "tRNA-Glu". Lineage: Eukaryota; Metazoa; Nematoda; Chromadorea; Rhabditida; Steinernematidae. The record is from RNAcentral.
GAGGUAAUAGUAUAACAAAGUAUAUUUCUCUUUCUAAGAAAAGGUUAUUACCUUA